Molecule: transfer RNA, 73 nt
Filed under: Spilogale angustifrons
Lineage: Eukaryota; Metazoa; Chordata; Mammalia; Carnivora; Mephitidae
Description: tRNA-Asn
Source: RNAcentral
UAGAUUGAAGCCAGUUGUUUGGGGUAUUUAGCUGUUAACUAAAUUUUCAUGGGAUAGAAACCCAUCAGUCUAG